This 403-nucleotide ribosomal RNA is filed under the name Verrucomicrobiota bacterium. RNAcentral describes it as "Verrucomicrobia bacterium partial 16S ribosomal RNA". It matches the Rfam family "Bacterial small subunit ribosomal RNA", at positions 355 to 776 of the family's 1533-position model. The record is from RNAcentral. Lineage: Bacteria; Pseudomonadati; Verrucomicrobiota.
UGGGGAAUAUUGCACAAUGGGCGCAAGCCUGAUGCAGCAAUGCCGCGUGAACGAUGAAGGUCUUCGGAUCGUAAAGUUCUGUUGCAGGGGAAGAUAAUGACGGUAAACGGUGAGGAAGCCCCGGUGAACUACGUGCUAGCAGCCGAGGUAAUACGUAGGGGGCUAGCGUUAUCCGGAUUUACUGGGCGUAAAGGGUGCGUAGGUGGUCUUUCAAGUCGGUGGUUAAAGGCUACGGCUCAACCGUAGUUAGCCUCCGAAACUGGAAGACUUGAGUGCAGGAGAGGGAAGUGGAAUUCCCAGUGUAGCGGUGAAAUGCGUAGAUAUUGGGAGGAACACCAGUAGCGAAGGCGGCUUUCUGGACUGCAACUGACACUGGUGCACGAAAGCGUGGGUAGCAAACAGG